Long non-coding RNA from Melospiza melodia melodia, 475 nucleotides. RefSeq lists it as uncharacterized. NCBI's taxonomy places the organism in Eukaryota, Metazoa, Chordata, Aves, Passeriformes, Passerellidae. The transcript is spliced from 3 exons. The record is from RefSeq and is a predicted model, not a curated record.
UUUGCACUUCAAUUACCCAUUUAGGGCACUCUUUCUUCUACUGUGUUGGCCUUUCAAUAGUGAAAAAAAUAAUAAUUCAACUGCUAAUUGAAUGUAAAUUUCUAGAUCAUUCAGUGUUUGGUAGGCUUUUUAAUGGCUUAAAUGGACUGCCCAUUUGCAAUAAGGUUUAAUUUCCUCACUUUUGAAUUUUUUAGGUACCAUGAUUUGCUCUUUCAUUAAAAGUAAGGGAAAAUUAUACAUCCCAGAAAAAGGAAAAAAGAAAUCUCAUGAAACUUUACACUCUUGGGAUUGAACAACGAGGAAGUAGGACGGAUGAUAUCUGACUGAAGGUCUAAAGGAAAUUCUGUGCCAUAGCUUCUUUCCCAGUGCAAAGAGAUCCAUCAAAUGAUGGGGAUGUUUUGAUAGCACAUUUAUCUGAACCUUCAGUUUCAAACCCCUUUGCAAAGAACAGAUGGAAAUAUAGUCUAAAAGCAGG